This 434-nucleotide ribosomal RNA is filed under the name uncultured bacterium. RNAcentral describes it as "partial 16S ribosomal RNA". It matches the Rfam family "Bacterial small subunit ribosomal RNA", at positions 29 to 507 of the family's 1533-position model. The record is from RNAcentral.
AGCGAACGCUGGCGGCAGGCCUAACACAUGCAAGUCGAACGAACCUUUCGGGGUUAGUGGCGGACGGGUGGGUAACACGUGGGAACGUGCCUUUAGGUUCGGAAUAACUCAGGGAAACAUGUGCUAAUACCGAAUGUGCCCUUCGGGGGAAAGAUUUAUCGCCUUUAGAGCGGCCCGCGUCUGAUUAGCUAGUUGGUUGAGGUAAUGGCUCACCAAGGCGACGAUCAGUAGCUGGUCUGAGAGGCUGAUCAGCCACAUCGAGACUGAGACACAGCCCAAACUCCUACGCGAGGCAGCAGUGGGGAAUCUUGCGCAAUGGGCGAAAGCCUGACGCAGCCAUGCCGCGUGAAUGAUGAAGGUCUUAGGAUUGUAAAAUUCUUUCACCGGGGACGAUAAUGACGGUACCCGGAGAAGAAGCCCCGGCUAACUUCGUG